AUUGAACGCUGGCGGCAUGCCUUACACAUGCAAGUCGAACGGUAACGGGCCUUCGGGUGCCGACGAGUGGCGCACGGGUGAGUAAUACAUCGGAACGUGCCCGAUCGUGGGGGAUAACGAGGCGAAAGCUUUGCUAAUACCGCAUACGAUCUACGGAUGAAAGCAGGGGACCGCAAGGCCUUGCGCGGACGGAGCGGCCGAUGGCAGAUUAGGUAGUUGGUGGGAUAAAAGCUUACCAAGCCGACGAUCUGUAGCUGGUCUGAGAGGAUGAUCAGCCACACUGGGACUGAGACACGGCCCAGACUCCUACGGGAGGCAGCAGUGGGGAAUUUUGGACAAUGGGCGCAAGCCUGAUCCAGCCAUGCCGCGUGCAGGAUGAAGGCCUUCGGGUUGUAAACUGCUUUUGUACGGAACGAAAAGCCUUCUUUUAAUACAGGAGGGUCAUGACGGUACCAGAAGAAUAAGCACCGGCUAACUACGUG
RNAcentral lists this ribosomal RNA (482 nucleotides) under uncultured bacterium. RNAcentral describes it as "partial 16S ribosomal RNA". It matches the Rfam family "Bacterial small subunit ribosomal RNA", at positions 30 to 507 of the family's 1533-position model. The record is from RNAcentral.